Molecule: ribosomal RNA, 460 nt
Filed under: uncultured bacterium
Lineage: Bacteria
Description: partial 16S ribosomal RNA
Rfam family: Bacterial small subunit ribosomal RNA
Source: RNAcentral
CCUACGGGAGGCAGCAGUGAGGAAUAUUGGUCAAUGGACGAGAGUCUGAACCAGCCAAGUAGCGUGAAGGAUGACUGCCCUAUGGGUUGUAAACUUCUUUUAUAUGGGAAUAAAACAGGGUAUGCAUACCCUCUUUUAUGUACCAUAUGAAUAAGGAUCGGCUAACUCCGUGCCAGCAGCCGCGGUAAUACGGAGGAUCCGAGCGUUAUCCGGAUUUAUUGGGUUUAAAGGGAGCGUAGGUGGAUUGUUAAGUCAGUUGUGAAAGUUUGCGGCUCAACCGUAAAAUUGCAGUUGAAACUGGCAGUCUUGAGUACAGUAGGGGUGGGCGGAAUUCGUGGUGUAGCGGUGAAAUGCUUAGAUAUCACGAAGAACUCCGAUUGCGAAGGCAGCUCACUGGACUGCGACUGACACUGAUGCUCGAAAGUGUGGGUAUCAAACAGGAUUAGAUACCCUAGUAGUC